This 14036-nucleotide long non-coding RNA is filed under the name Citrus maxima (pomelo). RNAcentral describes it as "long non-coding RNA (CMAX_LNC000096)". The record is from RNAcentral. Lineage: Eukaryota; Viridiplantae; Streptophyta; Magnoliopsida; Sapindales; Rutaceae.
CAUUUCUGCAACAGAAUAAUAUUACAGCAUCGAAUGGAUUCUCUCCUGCUCAGUUCUCACAUGCUUCCUGGUAAUAUGUUUCACACUAGGACAGCCAGUAAGGGCCAUGGUCAACUCAAACUCAUCCUUCAGCAUUUCGAUGACGCGUCUCACCCAUAUUCCCUUUUGCAGCAAGGCCGUAGACUACAGCCUUCCAAUCUGGAGUAACAUAUGACAUACAUUUGUUUAGUAAUCAAAUAAGGACCCGAACAAAAGUAGUACUGCAGUUGAAAUAAAUUUCUAUGUUACCUUUGUGUCCCUGGAAUCAACUGUUAACAAAAGAGAAAAGAAAGGUGGCUCCAGAGUCUCACCACUGAAAUUAAAAAAACUUAAGGGUGAAGUUGUGAAAAGCUUACAAGUACAGCUUGUGCACCGAGGGCCAAUGCUUGAAAACAUCUGUUCCUCGCCGCACUCCUCCAUCCAUAAGAAUUGGAACUCUUCCUUUAACGGCAUGAACCACCUGCAAGCUCAGGGUUCACAAGUAUAAAAUGUAUUGGUUACGAUUUCCUUGGUAAAAUCUAUGUGUAACCCAAAGUUGUCAGGGGACACAUAUCUUAUUCAAAAUGCUGGUCAUUUCUACAUCGAGCUAGUUAGAUCGAAAAAUGUAUUGUUACAAGAUCUCCAUCAUUAAUACAUGAAACGGCAAGUUCCAUUGUCUACACGUCAGAAAACUAGCAAAAACUACAUGCAUUAGCAUUGUUAUGAGCACCCUAUAGAUUUGCGUCUCCUGUUUCCCGAUUCAUAUGCCUUAAAUUAAAACUCAGAAUAUUAAUUAGGAGAAUUAUGUAAUCCUUAAUAAUAUGAUAUUUCUCAACCUUUCAAGUUAAAUUCAAUGGCAGCAGCAAUGUUGUCAGUUUGGAUUCCCUUUUACAGUCUUAAAAAAUUUUAGAAUGCAUUCUACUAUCAACAUUAAUCAAAAUAAACUGACACAUAUUUGUAAUCAAUUCAAUUCUCACAAUUAUUUACGUACUUGUAAAAGUGAAGUAAGUUUAGAUCUAUAUACAAAUCUAGAUCAUAUUGUCUGCAGUUUAGAAAGCUAAAAGUGGUGUGAAAUUUAUAGUCACCUCUUCCAGAGCAGAAAUAGUGGCAGGACUAUAAUCUAACUGUCGAGCUCCGUGAUUGGAGACAAUAAUCCCAGCACACCUACUUCCACAGCUUUAUUUGCUGAAAAUUUUAGAACCAGCAAUUAACAAAUCUUCAAUAGGAACUCACAAAUAAAUGAAAAUAUUUCUGAUGAAAUUCAUAAAAGAGAUAGAUAGUGACGUGAGGAGAGGAUAUUUAACAAGAAUAUUUUCAUUUGGAUGAUUGGCAUCUCCAAUUGUACAAACUUUAAUUCUAAGUCUUUAAUCCACUACCAAAUCACUGCAUAAAUAAACUCUGGCUUAGAGACUCACAAUGUAUAAAUGGAAAAGAAUCCUCUUUUAGUCUAAGGCUACAUGGAAAACAAAACAAAGCGAUACUCAUAUCAUCAGAUGGAGCUUUGAUCUUACCAUCUUCACGAGUAAGUAUCCCUUGAUCAAAAUUGGUAAGUUUUGUAAUAGAUCUUAGCCAUUCUAAAUCCUGCAGAAGCAUAUGAUAUUCUUCAGACUCAAAACUUUACGAGAGUAUUGAGAUCAAUAGCCACUCAAAACUUCGCAGAAGCAUUUGUUCUAAGUAGCUGAAUAAUAUACACUUAUUUUUUCUUGAUAUAUUUCCGAGCAAGGGAAAGAAACAGCAGGACAGAUUUUUUCUUGAUAUACAAAAGGUGAAAGACUUCACUGAUCUCUACCUUCCAACUUAAAGAAGCAUCCAUGGUCUCGUUGGCAUCAGCUUCAAAAUUCGAACCUGUAUCCUGUAAAAAGUGUAAUCCAUUAAGUUAAAGUAAAGGAUUAUAGAUAUAGUCUAUGAGUUUAAACAAGCAGUAAAAGUAAAUGCCGGCUGAGAACCAGAAAUAUCAAAAAUAAAUAAGUGAAACUGUAACACUCACAGAGCUGACUUUGGUUGAUAAGAGGCCUUCCAAAUUCUUCAACGGCGGUGUAAUCAUUCUGCAGAUGUUGUUGAGUGAGAUUCAAAAGACAAUGUUUACUGUACCAAAUAAAAGGUAAAGGCACUAUAUAUUUCUUUUGAUGUCACAAUACAACAUUUGUGUCAUAAUCACUAUCCUAAAAGGUUUUUUUUAACCAAAGUUUCAAUUCAAUUAUAUGUGGUAGUACUUGGAAUAUAUAGAAACCAAAGAUAAAAAAGAUGAUAAUUCACUUGUUCUUUAUAUCUGCCUCCUUCUACAAGUCUUGGAGUAUCAGCAGUUAGGACAAGAGCCUUAAAACAUUCCUUUCAGCUCUCUGCACUAGAGUAGCUGUUAUAUCUCGUUUCUUGAAUACCUAUUCACAAAAGGAGCCAUAGUGUGGUUCAAACCCUUUAAGUAACAUUAUAAGAAAGAAGAAAAUAGUUGUUGCUCAAAAAAUGAGCAGUUUCCUAAUAAGAAUAGGAGGGGAAAAUAAAAAUAAAAAGGAAAAAGAAAAAAGAAAGAGCCCAAGACAAGCCAACUACAUAUAAUUGAUAGAAGCGAACAGCAUUGGAGCUGGCCGCAACCUCCUCUAUGGAGCUGCUAGAUGUGAAGGAUAAAACCAUUAUGGUGUUACAUGAAGCUGCUGCUCUGGCUGUGGCUACCUCUCCUGGAAUAUAUACAAACACUUAAUGUUAGAAUUUGAACAAAAUCUUCAUGAUGUACAUCUUGAAGAAGGAAUAAGACUUCAGGGUUUGCAAGCUUAUGCAAAGCGUUGGAGCAAUGAUAAUGGGAGCCGAGAUUUUGUAAUCAAGUAUGGUAGUCGAUAAAUCAAUUCUGCUGACAUCGACAAGAAUUCUUGCCGAAACCUGAAGAGAUAAUAAAAAAUCCAUUUGAAAGUUCUGAAUCUAGUUCUAAGAUUACUCAUUGAACUCAUUUGUCUUACGUAAUUCUAUGAAAGGCUUCCACAUUCUCUUUUAGGGUAUGUUCAUCUUCUGCUCCACCAGCGUAGAAAUCAUAAUACAUUUUUGGAAGGCCAGCCUUGCCAUUCUUGGAACUCAUUCAAAUUAACAGGUUCAGCUGCCAUUUGGAACCUGCAAACGUGGACAUUAUCAACUUUUCAAGUAAAUCAAUCCAGAUGCUACAUACUGCAUGCAUAAAUCAGAAUAAUUCAUUUCAAGAAACUUAAAGCAGCAUUUGGAUAUAGCAAGAAAAUCCUGUAAUAGGUGACACUUCUCUUCGGAAGUGAACAAAUGGUAUGCCAACAUUGCAUAGGCCCCCCCCCCCCCCAAAAAAAAAAAAGAAAAAGAAAAAGAAAAACGGUUCUCAGGAUCAUUCUAUAACACACAAACACUUGUUUAAAAUAAUAACGGAAAUAUUGUUUUCUUUCUGUAAAUUUUCAGUGUACAGUGUUCUCGUCAUACCGUCAAGAAAUAUACCGUAUACAAUAAAGUAACAUUUAAGCGCUUUCUUAUCCGUCAAUGAUCCAUUAUACAUGUAAUUUCUAAGAUACAUACAGACAUACAUACACACUAGCACAUGAUAACAGCUAAAUAUGGUUCACAUCUAUAAAAUCAGUAAGAUACGAUGAUCCAAUAUAGCAUUUCACGUACUUAAGCUCACAGGCAAGUUCAUCAUGAUCAAAACAUGCUUACGAAUCACGACAUCAGAAAAAAAAAAAAAAAAAAAAAAAAAAACUUCCUGAAAGAGAGAGAAUAAAGAUACCGAUUCGAAUAACUAUUAAUCAAACUUAAACAAUAGAAUUUUGUAAAGAAAUGAACCCGAAUGACUAAAAUUUCAACUGAUGAAGGUCGAUCGUGAGGCAGAUUACAACAGUGAGUCGGGGCAGAGUCAAAGUCAAGAAGCAUAUAAAGGAUUAGUAUUACUUAAUUUGUCAUUUGACGUGUUUCCUACAAUUAUAGUCUUAUCAACUUCUAUCAUUUUUCAGAAUUUUGUUGUUUUCUUGGGCUUGCACGGUGGAUACAGGCUCCGUAUAUUCCUUACGUUUUUAUUAUUUUUUACUUCCUCUUCUUGGAUUGUACCAUCACUUGCCUUCUCUCUAUAUUAUAUAUAUAUGGACAAAAAUAAAAUGAAGUGAGAAUCAAGAUUAAUUUAGUUACCAUAGAUAAAGCGUUUGAUUUUAAAUAUUUUUUUUUACAAAAUUUAAGAAAUUUAAACAAAAAAUCUUUAUAUCCAUUCUUUUGUUGAAACAGGCAGUCGUUCACACGAAAACUGAUUGCCAUUGGGCUUCCUGUCUAGAGUCCAGACAGUAAGAACUGGGCCUGCUGUAGGAUGGCCCAAAUAGAACAAAACGCAUAUAAUGAGCAAAAUCAAAGCAUUCAACAUUGUAACCGAUCUAUAUGUUUUUGCAUAUUCAGUUUCCACGCCUUUCAAACUGUCUAGGCAGCCGUGAUGCCACCUGUACUCGGGUCUUUGAUCACCAUUGUCUCUCUGUUCAUGCAAGAAUUUGCAGUUGUCUCCAAAAUAGCAUCUUCCAUUAGGAUAAUAUGGGCAGAGCGUUGUUUCAUGCAGCUUUUGUUCUGAGGUGGACAUGUUGGAGGAUGAUGGUUAAUGCUUUUCAAUCGCUGUCUAUUGAUUGGAGCCUCCCUAAUGCUGCUGAGCUUAACAAUAGGAUCUUGAGGAACCUGUGUCUGGCAAUUAUUCUGCAUUACUGCCAAUUCCUGCUCUAACCAUUGUGAAAGCAGCUUUGCUGCUUUUUGGAAUCAGCAGAAAGCUGAGGUUGAGCUGCCAGCUUCCUAUGAUCGACUGAUAAGCUUGGUUUUUGAGGUUGAACUGAUAACUGCUGAGGUCCAUUCUUCAUUUGAUUAGAGUCCAUAUUCAAGGCUAGCUGUUGUUGAGACAGAAUCUCCACUUUUUCUGUUACAAUCAAAUUCAUUUGACACUGGCAACUUUUUGGAACCUGAUUUAUGGACAUCCUGAAGAACAAACAACAUAAGCAUGUAAAUCUUAAAAUAACAUGAUUUAUGGACAUCUUAAAAUAACAUGGUUGAGUUUCUUCAUUUUUAUAUGAAAUUAUACCUAUUUGCUUUCAGCAAUUUCCUCUUUUCCUUUCCAUGGAUCCGUAUUUCUCUAUUAGACCUUGCAAUAAAACCCCUUGAGUGCUUCUCCAUCAAAACCUUGUGUCUCUCCCCUUCGUCUUCCCAUCUCUGACAGCAACAAUAUGGGCAAAGCUGGGUUAAUAUUUAAGGAUCCACAGAUAAUAGGAAGAAGAAACUUCAGCUCUGUGCAAACCUGUCUCAAGGUCUUCAGACGAUAAAGGUUUCGACCUUUAAUUAGGAGAGGACGAAGUGGAGGGAGUGGCUUCUCCCCUUUGCUCCAAAGUACCUCUAUCUGAAAGAUUAGCCAAAAACAGCACUUUAAUCACAAUAAUUAUUUUGACGGAAUUUAAAAUACAGCAUCUGCCUGUUCAAAAUUUACUCCUAGAAAAUUUAUCUCAAUUGUAGGUAAACCAACUAGAGAAAUUCCAUCCAUCAAAUUUGCUUGAAAUGGUCAUACCGCAAAAUCAAGAAAUAUCAUUACCCUAAUGCAUAAACCCAGAUAACUGAACAGUUUUAAGACAUGACAGUUCAAGAAUAGUCAUAGAUUUUCUAUGAUUAAUGGCUUUCCAAUAAACUCCCAAAGUCCAAAUUAUAUAGGGCUUAUGACUCACUGUAAAUGUAUGUUGUUGCUUGGCUGCUCCAUAGCUUUCUUUCACAAUGCGGCCAGCAACAAUCCUUUUGCCACAUGGGGGACCACUUGCACUACAAGCUGCUAUGUUAAACCUAAUUAAUGAUGUAGAAAUAAGGUAAGAACAAAACACUCAACGGUUGCAAAACAACUUUGAGAAAAGAGCACAGCGAUACUAGCAAAUCUAAAGUAUUUGUUGUCAUUGUUACAUUUGUAAAUCAAAUAAUCUAUUGACAGAAUUACUAUUCUUUGGUAGAUAUAGGAGGUUAAACGCCAGUUUCAUUGAACUUAUAUUUAAGGCAGAUAAACAUAGAGUCAUAGACCAAUAGCUUACAUUUUGUAAACAUUCUGUUUAAACAUAACAACGUCACCUGUGCAAGCGUCACCUGCAUUUAAUCGGUACGNCAGAACUUUCGGAGAUGGAAAAUCUCCUGGCUGUGUGUAUAAGUUUCGAUAAUAAUGAUAAAAAGGGAGGAAGAAUAAGGAUGAUGAAGACCGUCUUGAGGGCUUACAGUUGCCUCAAAAUCUUGAGACCUUAAACAUUUUUGACCAUAGAGGUAACAGGAUUUCUCGCCUGAGAAUAAUGUUGUUAUCUAAGUUGCAGUCUAUGGCAUUAGAUUGGUGCAUGAACUUAGUGCAAUUGCCUCCUUUGGGAGAAUUGGCAGCCCUUGAGUCACUGAUUACACUAAGGAUGAAGAACUUGUAAAGGUGGGGAAUGAAUUUUUGGGAACAGAUCAAAGCCGUGGGAAACCAUUUGUUGCUUUUUCUAAAUUGAAUUGACUUGUUUUUAGAAAAUGAAAGUAUGGAAAGAGUGGAAAUAUAAAAUGAGGAAGAGGGCAAUUAUGUAAUCAUGCCAAGUCUUCAUUCAUUAACAAUUGGAUUCUGCCCCAAAUUAGAGACACUUCCGGAUGACCACUGUCCUUGACACUAUAUUCGAAGAUCAUUUCAUGUCCUGUGCUGGAAAAUUGUUAUAAAAAGGGAACAGCAGAGAGGCAAAAGAACUCUCAUAUCAAGAUUUCUUAUGCAGUUGAAUGCAACAGACACAAGGUAACUCUUCUCCUUGUUUUUACAUAGUUUGAUUUUUAGAAUUCGUUUUUGGUUUUUCAUGAUCCUGUAAUCUUUUGUCGUAAAUAAAAUAGAUAUGCAACCACCUGCAUUUGUAAAGAGAUGUUAAUUUAAUGUAUUGUUCUAUUCACUUAGAAAUUGUGGAUGACAUCACUGGAUAAUUUGAUCUUAUUGGUUUUUUUUCCAGGAGAAUGGUGUGAGAAGUAUUCUGGAGAGGAAUCAAAUGUUAUAUGUCGUGCCCAUUUCAGAUAUCAAAUAUUUGGUAAGUUAAUCUCUUCAACUCACACAUAUCACAUUCCUGGUCUUGGUUUUCAGAAUGUAGAACUGGCUACUAGGCACAGCAACUAAUCAAUAGAAUUGUAAAAUUAUAUCUCAGUGCAGAGCAAUUACUUCAAAGUCUCCAAAGAUGAUGUGGGCGAGACAGAACCUUCCCCUUUGAAACAGAAAGAAAACGUUAUCUUAAAACUUUUGCUUAUAGUUAUGUUACAGUUUGAAUUCCUUUACUACUUCAUAAUCAUUAUUCUUCAAUCUUGAGGUGUUUCUCAGAGUGUAAUACAACUUUCAAAAAAUGGAGAUUGCAUUGAAGUCAGAAAGGGUGCGAAAGGCCCUCGAGGGAAGAAAGUUGAUAGGACGCUUUGGAUGGCUAUUGUUAAACCUCGAAUAGUAUGAUAUUGUCUGCUUUAAACAAAAGUCAGGUUAUUUUUUUUCUUCUUCAGUUCUCGUCAAGAGGCAUCAUACUAUUUAAGAAAUGAAUUUGUAUAUGUAGUCUAGCAUUGCUUUUAAAGCAGGCAAUGCAGGACAUUGACUUCCAAUCCUUAUCAUCCUUGAUAUUUCCAAAUCUUGAAUCACAUAUUGAAGCUCUGCAAGGAAAAGGAAAUGGAUCAUUCCAAGUUACCAGUUGCAGGAUGAUGGAAGAUCCGAUUACAAGACAUCAGGGAAUAGUGGCUGGAUUGCCUGAUUCUAAAUGAUAUUCAUGAAUCAUGACCCUUUGUUCUGUCACUUGGUUUCAGGAACUAGCCACUGGAAAUAUUUUCGUUGCUCUUUUUAUGUCUGUCUUUCACAGCGAAGGUAGAAGGUUGAAGCACAAGAGGGUGAUUGAUAUGCUGUUAACUUUUAUCUUAGUACAAUAUACCAAAACAAUUUAUUUUAAUGUAGCAACUGGUAAGUCCUUUUAUUUUCAUGUUAUUCAGCAAUCGAUGCUUUUUGUUCCUCUGUGGCCUCUUUUGUAUUCGAUACAAUAUACAUAAGUUCGACGAAGGGUUCCACUAAACUUCAUUUUUCUGUGAUGCUCACAUAAUUUUGGAUAUGGAGCAGGAGUUGAAGCCACCAAUUCAGACUGAAACGUUGAGCCAAAUUUUACCAAAAUUUCACUUUGUUUGAUGCAUUUGCAUAUUAGGCACUUUAGGUCCGUGCCUUUUGCUAGCUUGUCCUAGAUGGUGCAAGGAAACAGAGUCACAAAAUCAAUCGACAAAAAGAUGUUAUAAACCAUAAAAUACUUCAAAUUUAAUUAGUUUAAAUGAUUGCUCAUGGUUUAAUUCAUCCAUACAUAUAAGGUUGUGUUUGGCACCCAGCAUUACUCCUCAUUAUAGCCUUGUAUUGUAUUAAAUUAAUACAAUACUAUGUUUGGCAAAAAAUGAACUUUGUAUUAGACCACAUUGUAACACACCAAACGCCGCACAAAUUAAACCCGUGAGGGGGGGUCGUAAUUAGGCCGCAUUGCAUUAGAAUAGAAAGCAAAUUCUUUCUUCUUCACGAUCUCAGCCACAACCACAAACCAAAUCUUCUCUUCGCAAAACCCAAAGUAAAUUUUUUCUCUCAAACUCACUCGCCUUUCACUCACAUAUUUUCCUCCUUCUCCUUCAAUUUCUCAAGAGCCAAACAUAGCAAAUGGAAUUACUAAGUGAGCGGUGUAGUCGAAGCGUCUGAAUCUUUUAUUGGAGCCAAUGCGUCAUUUGAAGUUCAAACAACAGCGUAGAGUGGCAGUGGUGCUACGGCGAGAUUCGAACAGACUCUCGUGUAGAUUUCAUUUUUCCAUUUAGGUUUCGAGUUUAAAUGUUUCAAUUGAUGACUCUAUAAAGCCCAAAAAAAUUAUAAUAGUAAUAAUAAUAAUAAUAAUAAUAAUCAUCAUCAUCUAGACUUUUAGUACUCAUAUUGUCCAUGAUAUUAAAAGAAAAACAGAAAAAUACACUGUUACAUAAUAAAUAUGACACUUUCACAUAUAAAGUGAUUGUCUAUAACUCUGCUAAUUAGAACUAAUUAAUUAAAUAUUAAAAUGUAUUUUUUACCUUAAAUGACGUGUUUUCUCUAUCAUUCUUUGAAUACCAGAGACAAAAUGAGGUAUUAAAAAACUAUAAAGGAUUAAAAUGGUAAAAACAAAUUGUGGGAGGGACUCAAGUGUCAGUCUCCCUUAUUUUUCAAUACAAAUUUGUACUCGAAACUUUAACCCUUAAAUUAUCAUAAUUCUCACAAUAGAUAAGUUAGUUUCCUUAUAGAUUCCGUUAUUAAAACCAAAAGUUAAUUACCAGGAAGUCUCAUCACACGUAACUAAGUAUUUAUUAUCUUUAUCAUAUUUUCUAAUUCCCCACAUUAUUUAAUAUUUUCUAUCUGACAAAAUGGUUGUAAAAUACAUAAUUACAUAAAACUCUCAUUGUAAAAGAAAAUUAUUCGGGAGAGUGCCAAAAUAGGGAGGCUGCCACUUUUUUUUCUCAAUCGAGUUUUCGUGUUUAUCACUCACUUAAUAUUUUUAUGGUUUUUAUAUAUAAUACGCAAUUACUUUCUUUAACAGAAAAAUUUAUCUGAGUGAAAAAAAAAAGUUCUUUUCUUUAGAAAUUGGAGUAACAUGAUAUAUUAAAAAAAUUAUAAGAGUAAAUAAUUGGUGAAAUUCGAAAACAAUAGGAGAGGAACGAGCAAAUAACCCGUCAAAGUAGGAAGGUCAUCACAUUAGCGUUGUCUGUCCACUACCGUCUUCAAAUCAUUAAGACUUUAUUGACGUCAUAAGGUAUAAUGAUAUUUCACUACGCUUUAAAAGCGUAAUUUGGACAAUAUUCCGUUAGUUUUCUUAACGGUUUGAAGACGAUAGUGGAUAAGUGUAAAAAAAUAAAUUUAAGUGGAGCACAGUAAAAAAUUAAAAAUUAUAUAUUUUUAAAAAGUGCGGGUAGACGGUAAAUAAUUACCGUUAAUCCAUUCAUCGAACACCUUGUUUAUCUAACAAUAAGGUUAGGUGGCAAAGUAUCAUUUUUCACCUCAUGGGUCAUGAAAUUGGAAAUCGGCAUGUCUUUACGAUUAAGAUUUCUUUUUUUUUUAAUCUAGUUAUCACAUCAUGCGUUUAAAUUUUAUUUGGAGUUGUUAUAAUAUAAUCGAUAGAAAUCUUUAACGUGAGAAAGCAGCAGCAUUACCUUGACGUGCGGUUACUGCUGGCAGUGUGAUUGUUAAUAAUGAAGUAUUUAAUGAGAGAAGGUGGCGUGGAUUUUUUAUGGUGUGGAAUUUUCUAGACUGUAUUUGCACUCUUAGAUCAUGCUUAGAUGAAUUGUGGGGUUGCAUUAAAUUUUGAGAUUAAUAAAAUAAUUUAAUUUAAGGUAUGUUUGGUUGUCAUGAAUUAAUAGGAUAAAUAAAAAUUAAUUCAUAACAAUUGGGAUUAUUAGUCUUUAUAUUUAUAUAGGUUUAGGUGAGAUAAAAUUAAAUGAAGAAUUUGUGUCCUCUUUUCACUAUUUUAUUUUUCAUUUAACCUAAUAUUUUAAUAAAAAUUAAAUAUAGAAGUUAAUUUCAUAAUUUUUUAACCUAUAAUUUUGUUUUAUAUAGAAUAUCAAAAUUUUAUUCAUUAAUUUAAUUAAUAAUAUUGAAUUUUAAACAUAAAAUAAUAAACUAUUUCUUUGUAGUAGCAUUGAAUAUUAAAUAUUAAAGUCAACAAUUUCAAUAUAUUUAUAUUAUUAUUAAAUUUAUUAAAUUAAAUUAAUAUAGUCCUUUUCAAUAUUGUAACAAAUAAAAUGUGAUAUUUUUAUAAUUCAAUCUAAUCCAAUUUAAUUUUAAAAGUUAAUUCAAUCAAAUCAUCUUUCCAAAUGUAACCUGUUAUUAAGGUCUGGGUUUAGUGGCAAUAACAAGACUCAAUCGAUGCUCUCCUACACAAAUUAAUAGAAGGUGUAUGUAUCUCUCUAAAUAUUUUUGGAAGUAUAUAUAACUCCUCGGUAGAUCUCAAAUUACACUAUAUAAGCGUAUAAACUUAAGCUAAUAAUAGAUAAUAGGUUGUAAGAUGUAACAAUUUUUUUUUUAAUAAAAAAAGCCUUCCUGUUACUUUGACUGUCCGUGCACUGUUGCACGGGUCGAUAUAAUUGGUCUAUCAUUUUUAUUUGUGUUUUAUAAAAGUUGCAUGAAUAUGAGGCUUUUCAAUAUCAACUCUUAAAAUUAAAAACUCUGAUCGGUCUGGUACUUAUCUUGGCGGCUUUGGGAAUAAUUGGGACGUCUUCGGGCAGCUUUUUUUUUGAGGUGAUAUGCCAUGUUGCUAGUUAUUGAAAAUGCCAUUGCUAGAGGUUGGAAUUAUUCAUGGCAUGAGGUUAUGCUUCAAUUCUUGUUAUUACUUAUUUUGUAAUCUCGAGAAUUGGAUUUAAUUAACUACUGCAUCGUGUGGUGAAUUUCAUGCACUUCAAGAUCAUUCCUACUUUUCGAGGAGAGACCAAUGUUGUUGCUAAUCGAUUAGCUAAUCUCAAGUGUCAAUUGCAGCUCGCUAACUUGGUCGGUUAGAUAUUUCAUCAUCAGAUAUUAUUAGUCUUCUUUAAGAAGAUGCUAAUGGAUUUACUAUUAAUUAAUUUUUUUUAAAUUUAUUAACUUGCCUAUUAGAAUGGGUUUUUGUUGCUCUCAUUUGGGUGGUGGAGUGGAUUUUAAAUAGUUUUUUUUUUUUAUAUACUGAAAUUUUAGGGAGGUAAGACGCAAAAAAAAAAUGAAUUUGCACUUUACCCAUCGCUUAUGUUAAAAAGAAAAAGAAAGAAAGAAUAGACUUUUUGUUUCGUGGAUGCAAUUUAAACUGAAAUGGUAAAAUCUCCUAUUACAAAUAAGUGAUUUGGGUUGGAACCUCCACACGAAUGGGGAAGAAAUCUUUUUGACAUUAGACUAAACAAUAACUAUUAAAAAAAAAGUUUUUUUGAUUUAUUUAAGUUGUGUCUUUUGAAAUAAUUGUUGUUGGUUGGUUGUAUAAAUAAUUAGAUAUGAAGAGAAAAUGUUUAAUAUUUAAUAAAAUUUAUUAUUAAAAGUGCUGAAUUUAAAAGCAGUUAUACAUAUUUGGUAAAUCUUACUGUAAAAUUGUUGUAAGAAUAUAAAUAACUGAAUUAAACAUAAUAUUGAAGCAAUCUUAUUUAGAUAUUUAUAAAUAUGUAUAUAAAUAUUUUUUUAUUGUGUAUAUAUAGGAUUAAUAACUAAAAUAAAUAUUUUAUUUUUUAAUUUUGUUAUCUUAAUAUAAUGAGUAGUAAUAAUAAUAAUUUCUUUAAAGUUAAUAAUUUUAUUUCUUAAAUAAUAAGGAUAAGUUUAAAUGUUUAUAAUAUAUAUGAUGAUAUAAAUGAAAUUAUAUCGAGUAUAAAAUUUAUUCACAAAAUCAAAUUUUAAAAAAUUACUGAUUUCAUAAGUUUUUAAAAUCUACUGUAAAAUAAAAUAAUUUUAAAAAAUUCAUUGAACAUUAAAAAUAAUUUUUAAUUUUUUAAAAUUACUUUAAGUAUUUAAAAUAGUCCAAUGGGGGCCUGCCCACUAUUAAAGCUUCCGUCAACUAUGAUCCAUCUGAAUUAGAAAAAUAUAUCAGAUAAGAUAUUUUAAUAUUUUUUUAAUAGAAUGAUUACUCCAUUAUUAUCCACGUCUUUGUACUUGUCAUUUGCUGCUCCACAGCCGCCUCAAGGCAGCUGCCAUAAAUUGACCGCCAUCUUUCUUUUUUUCUGGUCAACAAGUCAAAAUCUUAUAUUAAUGCAUUAAAGACUUACAAACAUUGUCCAUUAUAAUUGAUUAAGCAGCUCUAUUAUAGUUUAGUUUUUUACGUGAUUAUACCUGUUUUCCUAUUUAUUACUAACAAUUAUUAUUAUAAUAAUUUUUUAAACAAAUUUUUAUUUGACAUCUAACAAUACAAAAAGCCUAAAUUAAAAUUUUCUCUGAAGGCCAUAAAAGCUCUUGAGCUGGCCCUGACUUCGAUUCAUCCCAUUCCAUCUUUAGCUUAUUUUAUUAUGAUCUAAAAUGAAUGCAAAUAUAUGGGAAACAGAUCAACAAUUAUUGGAUAGGCAUGUCCGUGAAUUAACGGUACAUUUAUUUCCUGAAAUGGGAAUGAGAAUGUACUGGAAUGUUAUUGAUGUGUUUAUGUGAGAGAGAGUAGUUAAGAUGUUAGUGGAGAUUGUGGUGGUGAAUUGUUGAAUUUAGAAGAUGGAAUAAGAAUUAUAAAUCAAUAUAGAUUGUGGUGACUUUUUUACAAAGAUAAAUAAAUAAAUAAAGGAUGCAAAGAACCCAGAGAAUAAAGAAAAAAAAACAAAGGAAGAAGAACAGAAGAGAGAAGGACGAAAAAGAAUUGCAGAAGGAGAUUGAGUUUGGAGAUGGUAAAAGAGGGAGAUAAGAGAUAAGGAUGAUGUGUGACCUGUCAGAUUUGUGUUUAUUGUUUUAUAAUUUAUUUUACCAUUUAUUUUAUAAAACAAGCAAAAUAUGUACAAGUUGUUUUGUAAUUCAUCACUCAAUCUAUUUGAAAAGUUUAGAAUUUAUUAGUUUAAUAUAUAUUUAAUGAAAAAUUAUGAUAUUUUUUAUAUUUAUAUUAAAAAUGAUGUAAAAAAUUUUAAAAUUUAAUACUUCUAUAAUUAAUUUUUUUUAAGUACUAAGAAAUAUUGUUUUGAAAUAUAUAAUGUAAAUUAAUCACCAAAAAAAUUAAUAUAUAAUGAAAUAUAUAACUCCAAACAUGAUAUAAUUAAAAAUUAAUACAGUACAAUGUAAUACCAAAUGUUGUAUAAUAUUAUUAUAAUUCAAUACUAAUACAAUACAAAAUAAUACAAUAUAACUGUAUUAAAAUAAUACAAUACAACAUAAUAUAAUAGAGUGUGUCAAACGCACCCUUAAACAUUUCUGCAACAGAAUAAUAUUACAGCAUCGAAUGGAUUCUCUCCUGCUCAGUUCUCACAUGCUUCCUGGUAAUAUGUUUCACACUAGGACAGCCAGUAAGGGCCAUGGUCAACUCAAACUCAUCCUUCAGCAUUUCGAUGACGCGUCUCACCCCAUAUUCCCCUUUUGCAGCAAGGCCGUAGACUACAGGCCUUCCAAU